UGAACGCUAGCGGCAGGCCUAACACAUGCAAGUCGAGGGGUAACAGAGAAGCUUGCUUCUGCUGACGACCGGCGCACGGGUGCGUAACGCGUAUGCAACCUACCUCAUACUGGAGAAUAGCCCUUGGAAACGAGGAUUAAUACUCCAUGGUAUCAUUCUUUCGCAUGUUAGAAUGAUUAAAGAAUUUCGGUAUGAGAUGGGCAUGCGUCCCAUUAGCUUGUUGGUGAGGUAACGGCUCACCAAGGCAACGAUGGGUAGGGGGCCUGAGAGGGUGGUCCCCCACACUGGUACUGAGACACGGACCAGACUCCUACGGGAGGCAGCAGUGAGGAAUAUUGGUCAAUGGAGGCAACUCUGAACCAGCCAUGCCGCGUGAAGGAUGACGGCCCUAUGGGUUGUAAACUUCUUUUAUAUGGGAAGAAACUUAUCUACGUGUAGAUAACUGACGGUACCAUACGAAUAAGGAUC
RNAcentral lists this ribosomal RNA (468 nucleotides) under uncultured bacterium. RNAcentral's name for it is "bacterial SSU rRNA". It matches the Rfam family "Bacterial small subunit ribosomal RNA", at positions 30 to 494 of the family's 1533-position model. The record is from RNAcentral.